CCUCUGGACGACGAGGAGAUGGUCUCCUACUUCGUCACCGGCCUCGACAUCGAGUUCAAUCCGGUUGUCUCGGCUGUUCUAGCACGGGUGGAACCGAUCUCUGUUACAGAUCUGUUCACUCAGCUGCUAGCAUUCGAGC
This is a small nucleolar RNA of Panicum virgatum (switchgrass), 139 nucleotides long. RefSeq annotates it as small nucleolar RNA Z247. The record is from RefSeq and is a predicted model, not a curated record. NCBI's taxonomy places the organism in Eukaryota, Viridiplantae, Streptophyta, Magnoliopsida, Poales, Poaceae. The transcript has a single exon.